This is a long non-coding RNA of Patella vulgata (common limpet), 264 nucleotides long. RefSeq lists it as uncharacterized. Lineage: Eukaryota; Metazoa; Mollusca; Gastropoda; Patellidae. The transcript is spliced from 3 exons. The record is from RefSeq and is a predicted model, not a curated record.
GUUACUGUACUCUCAAUAUUCUGGCCCAGGCUGUUUGUCAAUGUGAAAGAGGUUAUAAACCAUCCCAGACACCCGGCGUUUGUAUAGAUAUUGAUGAAUGUGUUGAAUAUGAUUUUGUAUGUGACAAAAAUUAUGGUUACUGUUUUAACACCCUUGGUUCUUAUUACUGUAACGACAUAAAUGUUCAAACUCAACACCACCAACAACAACAACAACAAAUCCCCUUCUCCUUGUACGCUCGACUUCUUCAAGGUGGCCGACGAC